GGUGUUUUGGUCUUUUUAUUGUUGUUGUUUAUUUUGUUCUUGUUUGUUUGCUUUUUAUGAGAUCCUGGGGACAGCGUGACUAAGUGACUUUUUCUUGCAUAUGCAGCAAGACACAGGAAGACCCUGCUCUAAACUUGGUCACCUGAAUAACUUCUCUCCUGUACAGUAUUGGACAUCUCUGCCUCUUCAUUCCUGUGAAACUCUUACUGUGCACAUCUCCUGGGCGACCUUGAUUUUGCAACUCUUCAUCUGACUUCACACCAUUCAUGUUCAAGACACAAGAUCAGGUAAGAUUCUGGUAAGUAGAAGUUACCUGGUGAUAGCUUUUA
Molecule: long non-coding RNA, 329 nt
Filed under: Rattus norvegicus (Norway rat)
Lineage: Eukaryota; Metazoa; Chordata; Mammalia; Rodentia; Muridae
Description: long non-coding RNA NONRATT031356
Source: RNAcentral